GGGUGUCCAUGGCAUCGUUGGGGUUAAGCCACUUAGCCAUGGAGGCAAUUGAAUGCGCAACAAGGGAUAUCUAACCUUCAAACCAUUUGGGGGAGAAUACUCUAUGAUAUGAUUGAAAAUCUCUGAUCAGAGUAUGAAUGAGAUUUAGGAAGGCAUUCCAAAUCACAUUCAAGGUAAUCAUAUAAGUAAAUGAAUCACAUUGGAUA
Molecule: long non-coding RNA, 206 nt
Filed under: Malus domestica (apple)
Lineage: Eukaryota; Viridiplantae; Streptophyta; Magnoliopsida; Rosales; Rosaceae
Description: long non-coding RNA (MDOM_LNC006757)
Source: RNAcentral